Molecule: transfer RNA, 56 nt
Filed under: Loxodonta africana (African savanna elephant)
Lineage: Eukaryota; Metazoa; Chordata; Mammalia; Proboscidea; Elephantidae
Rfam family: tRNA
About the family: Transfer RNA (tRNA) molecules are approximately 80 nucleotides in length. Their secondary structure includes four short double-helical elements and three loops (D, anti-codon, and T loops).
Source: Rfam by way of RNAcentral
UGGUUCAGUGGUAGAACUCUCGCCUUCCAUGUGCGAGACCUGGGUUCAAUUCCCGG